UACGAAGGGGGCUAGCGUUGUUCGGAAUUACUGGGCGUAAAGCGCGCGCAGGCGGUCUUCCAAGUCAGUGGUGAAAGCCCGGAGCUCAACUCCGGAACUGCCAUUGAAACUGUGAGACUUGAGGAUGAGAGAGGUGAGUGGAAUUCCCAGUGUAGAGGUGAAAUUCGUAGAUAUUGGGAAGAACACCAGUGGCGAAGGCGGCUCACUGGCUCGUAUCUGACGCUCAGGCGCGAUAGCGUGGGGAUCAAACAGG
RNAcentral lists this ribosomal RNA (253 nucleotides) under uncultured bacterium. Its description in RNAcentral is "partial 16S ribosomal RNA". It matches the Rfam family "Bacterial small subunit ribosomal RNA", at positions 524 to 776 of the family's 1533-position model. The record is from RNAcentral.